UGAGAGGAGUCUGACUGAUCCUAAUUGGU
RNAcentral lists this non-coding RNA (29 nucleotides) under Mus musculus (house mouse). Lineage: Eukaryota; Metazoa; Chordata; Mammalia; Rodentia; Muridae. The record is from RNAcentral.